This is a long non-coding RNA of Oncorhynchus kisutch (coho salmon), 3258 nucleotides long. RefSeq lists it as uncharacterized. Lineage: Eukaryota; Metazoa; Chordata; Actinopteri; Salmoniformes; Salmonidae. The transcript is spliced from 2 exons. The record is from RefSeq and is a predicted model, not a curated record.
AUGCUUUGUUUGUUUGUCUCGGGGAUGCUUUGUUUGUUUGUCUCGGGGAUGCUUUGUUUGUUUGUCUCGGGGAUGCUUUUAAGGGUAGUAGCAGGGGAAAAUGUUGUUUUGUAUUUUUAAGAUGGAGCAGCAAUCAUUCCUCAGAGAGACUGUGACUAUAAAACUAUAUGUGUUUGGUUGUCAGCAGAGGAGUAUUAAUUAGGGACCCUUAGUCACGACAGACAGAGGCGGUGCUCCAAUCCAAUCCAGCCAGCUCCUGAGUAGUUCCCUUCAGUCCCCUUAUUGCCCUUCAGAAAGAUAGAUGGAGACACCACCAUAUCGCAAUAAUACAUGUGUGUUAGGUGCUUAUUUCACACACGUGUUAGGUGCUUAUUUCACAUGUGUUAGGUGCUUAUUUCACACAUGUGUUAGGUGCUUAUUUCACACACGUGUUAGGUGCUUAUUUCACACGUGUUAGGUGCUUAUUUCACAUGUGUUAGGUGCUUAUUUCACACACGUGUUAGGUGCUUAUUUCACACACGUGUUAGGUGCUUAUUUCACACACGUGUUAGGUGCUUAUUUCACACACGUGUUAGGUGCUUAUUUCACACACGUGCUUGUUUGAAUUGGAAAUGUAUUUUUUCCUUUUCAUAUCCCAACUCCACCUGAGACACAAACGGAGAGGGUCAACCAUUGCUAAUGCCAAACUGGUCCCUUCAGCUCUGCUAAAACUGAAGCGGUAGCUAGACUCUCUGCGAUACGUGUUGCUUUUGGAGUGACAUGUUGUGGUGCAACACUACCUGGUGAUGUUUUUAAUGGGGUAUCACAGGGUAAACUGUGCAACAUUACAUUGUGAUGUUUUUAAUGGGGCAUCACAAGGUAAACUGUGCAACACUACAUUGUGAUGUUUUUAAUGGGGGAUCACAGGGUAAAUUGUGCAACACUACAUUGUGAUGUUUUUAAUGGGGGAUCACAGGGUAAACUGUGCAACACUACAUUGUGAUGUUUUUAAUGGGGGAUCACAGGGUAAACUGUGCAACAUUACAUUGUGAUGUUUUUAAUGGCGCAUCACAAGGUAAACUGUGCAACACUACAUUGUGAUGUUUUUAAUGGGGCAUCACAAGGUAAACUGUGCAACACUACAUUGUGAUGUUUUUAAUGGGGCAUCACAAGGUAAACUGUGCAACACUACAUUGUGAUGUUUUUAAUGGCGCAUCACAAGGUAAACUGUGCAACAUUACAUUGUGAUGUUUUUAAUGGGGGAUCACAGGGUAAACUGCGCAACAUUACAUUGUGAUAUUUUUAAUGGGGGAUCACAGGGUAAACUGUGCAGCACUACAUUGUGAUGUUAUUCAUGGGAGAUCACAAGGUAAACUGUGCAACACUACAGUGUGAUGUUUUUAAUGGUGGGGGAUCACAGGGUAAACUGUGCAACACUACAUUGUGAUGUUUUUAAUGGGGGAUCACAAGGUAAACUGUGUAGCACUACAUUGUGAUGUUUUUAAUGGGGGAUCAUAAGGUAAACUGUGCAACACUACAUUGUGAUGUUUUUAAUGGGGGAUCACAAGGUAAACUGUGUAGCACUACAUUGUGAUGUUUUUAAUGGGGGAUCACAAGGUAAACUGUGCAACACUACAUUGUGAUGUUUUUAAUGGGGGAUCACAAGGUAAACUGUGAAGCACUACAUUGUGAUGUUUUUAAUGGGGGAUCACAAGGUAAACUGUGCAACACUACAUUGUGAUGUUUUUAAUGGAGGGGGGAUCACAGGGUAAACUGUGCAACACUACAUUGUGAUGUUUUUAAUGGGGGAUCACAAGGUAAACUGUGAAGCACUACAUUGUGAUGUUUUUAAUGGCGCAUCACAAGGUAAACUGUGCAACAUUACAUUGUGAUGUUUUUAAUGGGGCAUCACAGGGUAAACUGUGCAACAUUACAUUGUGAUGUUUUUAAUGGGGGAUCACAGGGUAAACUGUGCAACAUUACAUUGUGAUGUUUUUAAUGGGGUAUCACAGGGUAAACUGUGCAACACUACAUUGUGAUGUUUUUAAUGCAGGAUCACAGGGUAAACUGUGCAACAUUACAUUGUGAUAUUUUUAAUGGGGGAUCACAAGGUAAACUGUGCAACACUACAUUGUGAUGUUUUUAAUGGGGGAUCACAAGGUAAACUGUGAAGCAGUACAUUGCGAUGUUUUAGGAUAGAGGAUAGGUGAACACAGUAGGAUAGAGGAUAGGUGAACACAGUAGGAUAGAGGAUAGGUGAACACAGUAGGAUAGAGGAUAGGUGAACACAGUAGGAUAGAGGAUAGGUGAACACAGUAGGAUAGAGGAUAGGUGAACACAGUAGGAAAGAGGAUAGGUGAACGCAGUAGGAAAGAGGACAGGUGAAUGCAGUAGGAUAGAGGAUAGGUGAACACAGUAGGAAAGAGGAUAGGUGAACACAUUAGGAUAGAGGAUAGGUGAACACAGUAGGAAAGAGGAUAGGGGAACACAGUAGGAUAGAGGAUAGGUGAACGCAGUAGGAUAGAGGAUAGGUGAACACAGUAGGAUAGAGGAUAGGUGAACACAGUAGGAUAGAGGAUAGGUGAACACAGUAGGAUAGAGGAUAGGUGAACACAGUAGGAAAGAGGAUAGGGGAACACAGUAGGAUAGAGGAUAGGUGAACGCAGUAGAAUGGAGGAUAGGUGAACACAGUAGGAUAGAGGUUAAAGCAGUAGGAUAGGUGAACACAGUAGGAUAGAGGAUAGGUGAACACAGUAGGAUAGAGGAUAGGUGAACACAGUAGGAUAGAGGAUAGGUGAACACAGUAGGAAAGAGGAUAGGGGAACACAGUAGGAUAGAGGAUAGGUGAACGCAGUAGGAUAGAGGAUAGGUGAACACAGUAGGAUAGAGGAUAGGUGAACACAGUAGGAUAGAGGAUAGGUGAACACAGUAGGAUAGAGGAUAGGUGAACACAGUAGGAGAGAGGAUAGGUGAACGCAGUAGGAAAGAGGAUAGGUGAACACAUUAGGAUAGAGGAUAGGUGAACGCAGUAGGAGAGAGGAUAGGUGAACACAGUAGGAUAGAGGAUAGGUGAACACAGUAGGAUAGAGGAUAGGUGAACACAGUAGGAUAGAGCCUUUGCCACGUUGCUCUCACUUAUACAAUCAUCAUACAGAUCAGUGGUUUCCUCAAGGAAGGGAAAAAUAAAUACAAUUGAUGUGAAGGAUAGAAUUUAAGCACUCAAACAGGGAGUGGAUGACUCUGCACAUUAAUUGAAGAAUAAAACCCUCUAGAAGCAAA